GUCUCUAUAGUUCAAGGGUAGAACAUAACACUGUUAAUGUUAGUAUAUAGGUUCGAGACCUGUUAGAGACU
RNAcentral lists this transfer RNA (71 nucleotides) under Diddensiella santjacobensis. RNAcentral's name for it is "tRNA-Asn". It matches the Rfam family "tRNA". Rfam says of the family: Transfer RNA (tRNA) molecules are approximately 80 nucleotides in length. Their secondary structure includes four short double-helical elements and three loops (D, anti-codon, and T loops). Further hydrogen bonds mediate the characteristic L-shaped molecular structure. tRNAs have two regions of fundamental functional importance: the anti-codon, which is responsible for specific mRNA codon recognition, and the 3' end, to which the tRNAs corresponding amino acid is attached (by aminoacyl-tRNA synthetases). tRNAs cope with the degeneracy of the genetic code in two manners: having more than one tRNA (with a specific anti-codon) for a particular amino acid; and 'wobble' base-pairing, i.e. permitting non-standard base-pairing at the 3rd anti-codon position. The record is from RNAcentral. Lineage: Eukaryota; Fungi; Ascomycota; Dipodascomycetes; Dipodascales; Trichomonascaceae.